Molecule: ribosomal RNA, 454 nt
Filed under: Goniobranchus hintuanensis
Lineage: Eukaryota; Metazoa; Mollusca; Gastropoda; Nudibranchia; Chromodorididae
Description: partial 16S ribosomal RNA
Rfam family: Bacterial large subunit ribosomal RNA
Source: RNAcentral
AGCCUUAGGAAAUAAUCUAAGGUUGUACCUGCCCAAUGUGAAAAUAUAAUUAAUGGCCGCGGUACUUUGACCGUGCUAAGGUAGCGCAAUCAAUUGGCUCUUAAUUGGGGUCAGGAAUGAAUGGAGUUUACGUGGUUCAGCUGUCUUUUAAUUAAUACAUUGAAGUUACUAUAUAAGUGAAAAAGCUUAUUAAUAGAAAAAGGACGAGAAGACCCUUAGAGUUUUACUUAAUGUGAAUAAUAAUAUAUUUUGAUUCACAAUGGUUUUGUUGGGGCAACAUAGGAGCAAUAAUUUGAUAAUCUCUUAAAUUUAACUUACCGAAUUAUUAAAUUUGAAUAAACUACCUUAGGGAUAACAGCAUAAUUUUAAAAAUAAGUUUGUGACCUCGAUGUUGGACUAGGAAACUUAAAGGCUAGCCGUCUUUAGGGAAAGUUCUGUUCGAACUAUUAUUCCU